Molecule: ribosomal RNA, 301 nt
Filed under: uncultured bacterium
Lineage: Bacteria
Description: partial 16S ribosomal RNA
Rfam family: Bacterial small subunit ribosomal RNA
Source: RNAcentral
CAGUCGCCACGGGAAUACGUAGGUGGCAAGCGUUGUCCGGAAUUAUUGGGCGUAAAGGGCUCGCAGGCGGUUUCUUAAGUCUGAUGUGAAAGCCCCCGGCUCAACCGGGGAGGGUCAUUGGAAACUGGGAAACUUGAGUGCAGAAGAGGAGAGUGGAAUUCCACGUGUAGCGGUGAAAUGCGUAGAGAUGUGGAGGGACACCAGUGGCGAAGGCGACUCUCUGGUCUGUAACUGACGCUGAGGAGCGAAAGCGUGGGGAGCGAACAGGAUUAGAGACCCCCGUAGUCCCUGUCUCUUAUAC